GACGAACGCUGGCGGCGCGCCUAACACAUGGCAAGUCGAACGAGAGAUGAGGAGCUUGCUCUUCAGAUCGAGUGGCGAACGGGUGAGUAACGCGUGAGGAACCUGCCUCAAAGAGGGGGACAACAGUUGGAAACGACUGCUAAUACCGCAUAAGGCCCACGGCUCGGCAUCGAGCAGAGGGAAAAAGGAGCAAUCCGCUUUGAGAUGGCCUCGCGUCCGAUUAGCUAGUUGGUGAGGUAACGGCCCACCAAGGCGACGAUCGGUAGCCGGACUGAGAGGUUGAACGGCCACUAUUGGGACUGGAGACACGGCCCAGACUCCUACGGGAGGCAGCAGUGGGAAUAUUGCACAAUGGGGGAAACCCUGAUGCAGCGACGCCGCGUGGAGGAAGAAGGUCUUCGGAUUGUAAACUCCUGUUGUUGAGGAAGAUAAUGACGGUACUCAACAAGGAAGUGACGGCUAACUACGUG
RNAcentral lists this ribosomal RNA (470 nucleotides) under uncultured bacterium. Its description in RNAcentral is "bacterial SSU rRNA". It matches the Rfam family "Bacterial small subunit ribosomal RNA", at positions 28 to 507 of the family's 1533-position model. The record is from RNAcentral.